UUUUUUCAAAUAGCCCCCACUGCUAUUGUUUUCUUUUCCCCACAACUUUUAAUUUUCUUUUUGGCUAAAUUAUAGAAAAUUUCUUAUAAAUACAUAUCUUUUCACUUUUCCUUCCUAACUUUAAAAAAUUUAUAUUUUACCUCUCAACAUUUCAAGUUGUUGCAUUUAGUCCCUCCCUAUCAGGGUUUCAUCACCCCUCCAUCCAUUUUUUUAUAAUUUAUAUCAAAAAUACCUUUGAAAAUGACAUAAAUAUAUUAAAAAAAAAAAUUUUACAAAAGAAAUAAGGGUGAUUUGAU
Molecule: long non-coding RNA, 296 nt
Filed under: Ananas comosus (pineapple)
Lineage: Eukaryota; Viridiplantae; Streptophyta; Magnoliopsida; Poales; Bromeliaceae
Description: long non-coding RNA (ACOM_LNC012507)
Source: RNAcentral